GACGAACGCUGGCGGCGUGCUUAACACAUGCAAGUCGAACGGAAAGGCCUCUUUCGGGGGGUACUCGCGUGGCGAACGGGUGAGUAACACGUGAGUAUCCUGCCCUUGACUUUGGGAUAAAUUCUGGAAACUGGGGCGAAUACCGGAUAGGAGCUCCUGCUGCAUGGUGGGGGUUGGAAAGUUUCGGCGGUUGGGGGUGGACUCGCGGCUUAUCAGCUUGUUGGUGGGGUAGUGGCUUACCAAGGCUUUGACGGGUAGCCGGCCUGGGAGGGUGACCGGCCACAUUGGGACUGAGAUACGGCCCAGACUCCUACGGGAGGCAGCAGUGGGGAAUAUUGCACAAUGGGUGGAAGCCUGAUGCAGCAACGCCGUGUGCGGGAUGACGGCCUUCGGGUUGUAAACCGCUUUCGCUCAUGACGAAGCUUUGUGUGACGGUAGUGGGUAAAGAAGCACCGGCUAACUACGUG
This 467-nucleotide ribosomal RNA is filed under the name uncultured bacterium. Its description in RNAcentral is "partial 16S ribosomal RNA". It matches the Rfam family "Bacterial small subunit ribosomal RNA", at positions 28 to 507 of the family's 1533-position model. The record is from RNAcentral.